Molecule: RNase P RNA, 374 nt
Filed under: Kangsaoukella pontilimi
Lineage: Bacteria; Pseudomonadati; Pseudomonadota; Alphaproteobacteria; Rhodobacterales; Paracoccaceae
Description: Bacterial RNase P class A
Rfam family: Bacterial RNase P class A
About the family: Ribonuclease P (RNase P) is a ubiquitous endoribonuclease, found in archaea, bacteria and eukarya as well as chloroplasts and mitochondria. Its best characterised activity is the generation of mature 5'-ends of tRNAs by cleaving the 5'-leader elements of precursor-tRNAs. Cellular RNase Ps are ribonucleoproteins.
Source: Rfam by way of RNAcentral
GCGGAAGGUCGGAUGGCCGCUUGCCGCUCUUUCGGGGGCGGUGAGAGGAAAGUCCGGACUCCACGAAGCAACGGUGCCGGGUAACGCCCGGCCGGGGAAACCCGAGGGAAAGCGCCACAGAGAACAGACCGCCCCGCGUCCGCGCGGAGCAAGGGUGAAACGGUGGGGUAAGAGCCCACCGCGGGACGGGCAACCGGACCGGCACGGCAAGCCCCACCGGGAGCAAUGCCAAAUAGGGACCUCACACGGGCGCGCUUCGGCUCCGGGGUCCGGGUUGGCAGCUAGAGCGCGCCGGUGACGGCGGGCCCAGAUGAAUGGUCAUCGCCGGCGCAUCCGCGCCGGUACAGAAUCCGGCUUAUGCACCUUCCGCGCAA